RNAcentral lists this ribosomal RNA (329 nucleotides) under uncultured eukaryote. Its description in RNAcentral is "partial 18S ribosomal RNA". It matches the Rfam family "Eukaryotic small subunit ribosomal RNA", at positions 1470 to 1796 of the family's 1831-position model. The record is from RNAcentral.
CCCUUAGAUGUUCUGGGCCGCACGCGCGCUACACUGACGAAUGCAACGAGCUUAUAACCUUGGCCGAAAGGUCUGGGUAAUCUCCAAAUUUCGUCGUGAUGGGGAUAGAUUAUUGCAAUUAUUAAUCUUCAACGAGGAAUGCCUAGUAAGCGCAAGUCAUCAGCUUGCGUUGAUUACGUCCCUGCCCUUUGUACACACCGCCCGUCGCUACUACCGAUUGAAUGAUUUAGUGAGGACUUCGGACUGGGACCGAUGCGGCUUUCGGGCUGCGUCGGUAUUCUGGAAAGAUGUCCAAACUGUAUCAUUUAGAGGAAGUAAAANUCGUANCA